UUUCGCAAUGCCCGAAAGGGUGACGAAGCGACGCCGCGUGCGGGAAGAAGGCCUUCGGGUUGUAAACCGCUGUCGGGAGUUAAGAAAUGUAAGGAUGUUAAUAGCAUCUUUGCUUGACUAAGGCUCCGGAGGAAGCCACGGCUAACUCUGUGCCAGCAGCCGCGGUAAUACAGAGGCGGCAAGCGUUGUUCGGAAUUAUUGGGCGUAAAGAGCACGUAGGCGGCUAUGUAAGUCGGUUGUGAAAGCCUUCCGCUCAACGGGAGAACAGCAUCCGAUACUGCAUGGCUUGAGUGCGGGAGGGGAGAGUGGAACUUCUGGUGGAGCGGUGAAAUGCGUAGAUAUCAGAAGGAACGCCGGCGGCGAAAGCGGCUCUCUGGCCCAUAACUGACGCUGAGUGUGCGAAAGCUAGGGGAGCAAACGGGAUUAGAUACCCCGGUAGUCCUAGCCGUAAACGAAGGGCACUAAGUAGAGGGGUUUUA
RNAcentral lists this ribosomal RNA (479 nucleotides) under uncultured Planctomycetota bacterium. RNAcentral's name for it is "bacterial SSU rRNA". It matches the Rfam family "Bacterial small subunit ribosomal RNA", at positions 364 to 833 of the family's 1533-position model. Lineage: Bacteria; Pseudomonadati; Planctomycetota. The record is from RNAcentral.